UUGACCUCGGAUCAGGUAGGGAUACCCGCUGAACUUAAGCAUAUCAAUAAGCGGAGGAAAAGAAACCAACCA
This 72-nucleotide ribosomal RNA is filed under the name Parmelia squarrosa. Its description in RNAcentral is "partial 28S ribosomal RNA". It matches the Rfam family "Eukaryotic large subunit ribosomal RNA", at positions 1 to 71 of the family's 3401-position model. Lineage: Eukaryota; Fungi; Ascomycota; Lecanoromycetes; Lecanorales; Parmeliaceae. RNAcentral also lists the same sequence under 3 other names. The record is from RNAcentral.